AUGGGUUCGAUGGGGCCCGCCGCCGGGAAGCCGCACGCGGUGUGCCUGCCGUACCCGGCGCAGGGGCACAUCACCCCGAUGCUCAACGUCGCCAAGCUGCUCCACGCCCGGGGCUUCCACGUCACCUUCGUCAACACCGAGUACAACCACGCGCGUCUCGUCCGCUCCCGCGGCCUCGCCGCCGUGGCCGGCCUCCCGGGCUUCCGCUUCGCCACCAUCCCCGACGGCCUGCCGCCGUCCGACGACGACGACGUCACGCAGGACAUCCCGGCGCUCUGCAAGUCCACCACGGAGACCUGCCUCGGGCCCUUCCGCAGCCUUCUCGCCCGGCUCAACGACCCCGCCGCGGGCCACCCGCUGGUCACCUGCGUCGUCUCCGACGUCGUCAUGGGCUUCUCCAUGGAGGCUGCCAACGAGCUCGGCCUCACCUACGUCCAGCUCUGGACCGCCAGCGCCAUCAGCUACCUCGGGUACCGCCACUACCGCCUCCUCAUCGGCCGGGGCAUCGUCCCACUCAAAGGUACAUAUGCCGAGCAGCUGACGAACGGAUACCUUGACAUGCCGGUGGAAGACGUGCCUGGCCUGAGGAGCAUGAGGCUCAGGGACUUCCCGUCCUUCAUACGCACCACUGACCCGGACGAGUACAUAGUGCACUACGUCCUAAGGGAGACGGAGCGCACGGCCGGCGCGUCUGCCGUCAUCCUCAACAGCUUCGCCGACCUGGAGGGCGAGUCGGUGGAGGCCAUGGAGGCGCUCGGCCUGCCCAAGGUGUAUACGCUCGGCCCUCUCCCGCUGCUGGCGCGCGAGGAGCCGCCCACGCCGCGCUCCGCCAUCAACCUCAGCCUGUGGAAGGAGCAGGAGGAGUGCCUGCAGUGGCUGGAAGGCAGGGAGCCCGGCUCCGUCGUGUACGUCAACUUCGGCAGCAUCACCGUCAUGACCAGCGCGCAGAUGGUGGAGUUCGCGUGGGGGCUGGCGCAGAGCGGGAAGCAGUUCAUGUGGAUCGUCCGCCGAGACCUGGUGAGAGGCGACGCCGCCGUGCUCCCCGAGGAGUUCCUGGCCGAGACGGCGGGGCGCGGGCUCAUGGCGUCCUGGUGCCCGCAGCCGGAGGUGCUGGACCACCCCGCCGUGGGCGCCUUCCUAACGCACAGCGGCUGGAACUCGGCCCUGGAGAGCUUGUGCGGCGGCGUGCCAGUGAUCAGCUGGCCUUUCUUCGCCGACCAGCAGACCAACUGCAGGUACCAGUGCAACGAGUGGGGCGUCGGCAUGGAGAUCGAUAGCAACGUCCGGCGCGAUGCCGUCGCGGGACUUAUCACGGAGAUCAUGGAAGGGGAGAAGGGGAAGGGGAUGAGGAAGAGAGCGGCGCAGUGGAAGGACAGCGCGGUCAAGGCGGCCAUGCCUGGCGGCUCGUCUCACCGCAACUUCGACGGGCUGGUCCGCGACGUGCUCCUGCCCAAGAACUAG
Molecule: ribosomal RNA, 1461 nt
Filed under: Triticum aestivum (bread wheat)
Lineage: Eukaryota; Viridiplantae; Streptophyta; Magnoliopsida; Poales; Poaceae
Description: partial small subunit ribosomal RNA
Source: RNAcentral